This is a long non-coding RNA of Pygocentrus nattereri (red-bellied piranha), 748 nucleotides long. RefSeq lists it as uncharacterized. The record is from RefSeq and is a predicted model, not a curated record. The transcript has 2 exons. NCBI's taxonomy places the organism in Eukaryota, Metazoa, Chordata, Actinopteri, Characiformes, Serrasalmidae.
AGGAGAUCCGGGGAAGGAGAUCCGGGGAAGGAGAUCCGGGGAAGGAGAUCCGGGGAAGGAGAUCCGGGGAAGGAUUGGUGGCACAGGUGUGCUGCGGGUGUGGAUGGUGCAGCAGAGGCGGAAGCAGCCGGGAGCGUGGCUAGAACGCCAGCAGGAUUCGGCACAGCAUUACCCGGCAGUAGGGGCUUGGUCCGAGUGGCGUGUGAGUGCAGCGGCUGGCAGCAGAUUCAGGAGGAACUGCUGGAGUGUGUGCAUGCGGUGACGUCAGCGGCGGCUCAAAGGGAAUGCUGGAUAGAAGACCGAGGGUCAUCCUAUACACCACAGGCGUGUUGCUGCAAUUUCUGGGUAGUGGUUUCGAUCACUACCCGGAACUGUCCACUAGGCUAAUUUAAACCCAAGCUUGAGUACACAAAGGACAUAUUACUGGUCAGUCUUUUCUUUUAUUUUGUCCUAGAGCGGCGUGGUGAGACUCAAGGGAGCCGUGUCUACAUUCCCCUGGUCGUUAUGGACUUCUUUUAUUGAAACAGUGAACCGGACUUUCCUUUCUUUUAGUUCCUGUGUAUUCUUGGUUCCCCUUUGUGUUUUUUUUUUUGGUUUAUUUGGUAUUAUUCUUUUGUUUUGCGUUUUUGUUUAUUUAUUUUCCUGUUUUGCUUUCGUUCCCAUUAAUCUACUGCAACGACCUAGCUUUUAGUGUGUAUAUAUUUGCUCAAAGUAUAAAAUAAAACAUUGCUUGUUUGAGUAUGCUGUC